CCCUUAGAUGUUCUGGGCUGCACGCGCGCUACACUGACGGGUGCAACGAGUUUAUACACUUGGCCGAUAGGUCUGGUUAAUCUUUUGAACGCCCGUCGUGCUGGGGAUAGAUGAUUGGAAUUAUUCAUCUUCAACGAGGAAUACCUAGUAAGCGCAAGUCAUCAGCUUGCGUUGAUUACGUCCCUGCCCCUUGUACACACCGCCCGUCGCUGCUACUGAUGGAUGGUUCGGUGAACUUGUCGGAUUGUGAUGAAAUGCUAGUGCUUCGGUGCUAGUAUCGUUGUAAGAAGCCAAGUAAAUCGGAUUAUCUAGAGGAAGCAAAAGUCGUAACA
RNAcentral lists this ribosomal RNA (332 nucleotides) under uncultured eukaryote. RNAcentral's name for it is "partial 18S ribosomal RNA". It matches the Rfam family "Eukaryotic small subunit ribosomal RNA", at positions 1470 to 1796 of the family's 1831-position model. The record is from RNAcentral.